GGGGGCCACUUACUAUAUAAUGAGUGGUAGGGAUGAGCCGCUGGAAUAGGUCACUUUUUCAUGCUCUAUGAUACAUGAAAAGGGUGAGAAAUUCAGAUUAAAUAUAUCAAUAGGUUGAUAUUAUCACUUGCUUGGUUAUAUCAUAAGUAUCUGAAACUAAUCAGAUGUCCGUAUUUAUUUUUGAUGCUGUUAAACCACAGUCGUAAAUGCAUCAGUUAUUUGUCAAACCAAUUAAACUCUAUUUAUCCUGAUGUGGUAUUUCCACUGAUGCCAGUGAUUGAUGCAAUAAAUCCGACCAAAUUGACAUUUGCACCUAAUUAACAUUCAAGGGUUUGUAUACAUAAAACAUGAUAACAACUAUUUAAAAUUCAAUUCAAAGAAAUUCCAUUGUGACAGCGUCCUUUAAGAGGGAACGGCAAUGAAACUUUUUAUCAGUUUUUAAUUAAUUAAUAUAUAAAUCAGUGAAGGUGUUUGUAUGAUCAGACCAAACGUCUUUUAUAUGUAUUGUAUUUUGGAAUUGAAAUAUCUUCAUAAUGAAAGAUACAUGUAUAAAAGGGGCAAUAAGAAGAAGGUUUUUAAGAUGUGACGAAUUUAUUGGAAAAGAAGGUGAUAUUAUUGCGACUACUUUGCUUCUUAACAAGAAUGUGAUGAUGAGCGGGAAAAAAAUCUAUAAUAAUGUACCAGAAGAUGAAAAAUAUUUAAAUAUAUCUAUAGGUCUGUUUUUUGUUAAUUGAUAUAUGACAAGGUAUAUAUUUGGAUAAACAAAAUAUAUAAUAAAAGGGUGGGGUACUUGAUGUCUCAGCUGCUCACCCCUACCAAAAAAAGUUUGAAGUGG
RNAcentral lists this long non-coding RNA (835 nucleotides) under Mytilus galloprovincialis (Mediterranean mussel). Lineage: Eukaryota; Metazoa; Mollusca; Bivalvia; Mytilida; Mytilidae. The record is from RNAcentral.